AACGCUAGCUACAGGCUUAACACAUGCAAGUCGAGGGGCAGCGGGAUUGAAGCUUGCUUCAAUUGCCGGCGACCGGCGCACGGGUGAGUAACGCGUAUCCAACCUUCCGUACACUCAGGGAUAGCCUUUCGAAAGAAAGAUUAAUACCUGAUAGUAUGAUGAGAUUGCAUGGUAUCAUCAUUAAAGAUUUAUCGGUGUACGAUGGGGAUGCGUUCCAUUAGGUAGUAGGCGGGGUAACGGCCCACCUAGCCAACGAUGGAUAGGGGUUCUGAGAGGAAGGUCCCCCACAUUGGAACUGAGACACGGUCCAAACUCCUACGGGAGGCAGCAGUGAGGAAUAUUGGUCAAUGGACGAGAGUCUGAACCAGCCAAGUAGCGUGAAGGAUGAAGGUCCUACGGAUUGUAAACUUCUCUUAUAAGGGAAUAAACCCUCCCACGUGUGGGAGCUUGUAUGUACCUUAUGAAUAAGCAUCGGCUAACUCCGUGCCAGCAGCCGCGGUAAUACGGAGGAUGCGAGCGUUAUCCGGAUUUAUUGGGUUUAAAGGGAGCGCAGACGGGUCGUUAAGUCAGCUGUGAAAGUUUGGGGCUCAACCUUAAAAUUGCGGUUGAUACUGGCGUCCUUGAGUGCGGUUGAGGUGUGCGGAAUUCGUGGUGUAGCGGUGAAAUGCUUAGAUAUCACGAAGAACUCCGAUUG
This 694-nucleotide ribosomal RNA is filed under the name uncultured bacterium. RNAcentral's name for it is "bacterial SSU rRNA". It matches the Rfam family "Bacterial small subunit ribosomal RNA", at positions 32 to 715 of the family's 1533-position model. The record is from RNAcentral.